UACGAAGGGGGCUAGCGUUGCUCGGAAUCACUGGGCGUAAAGGGUGCGUAGGCGGGUCUUUAAGUCAGAGGUGAAAUCCUGGAGCUCAACUCCAGAACUGCCUUUGAUACUGAGGAUCUUGAGUACGGGAGAGGUGAGUGGAACUGCGAGUGUAGAGGUGAAAUUCGUAGAUAUUCGCAAGAACACCAGUGGCGAAGGCGGCUCACUGGCCCGUUACUGACGCUGAGGCACGAAAGCGUGGGGAGCAAACAGGG
RNAcentral lists this ribosomal RNA (254 nucleotides) under uncultured bacterium. RNAcentral describes it as "partial 16S ribosomal RNA". It matches the Rfam family "Bacterial small subunit ribosomal RNA", at positions 524 to 777 of the family's 1533-position model. The record is from RNAcentral.